AAAUGUCUUUUAUUAAUUUAACUAACUUCUUAAUCUUCUUCUAAUCUAAGAUCGGCAAACAAGUUCACCGGCCAUCUUAUAUUUACGAGAGCCCCCAUAAAUAUCACAACGUGAAUGUACGAUUAAUGAAGUUCUGGGCAGUAUUCAAAUCCUGAAAGGGUAGCUUCCAUAAACCAGCCUAUUUCUGCGUUGAGCAAGUCAUGUAUUCCAUUUUAAAGUGUGAGUCCGCCUUUAUACAAAUAAAACUUAUAUUUCAUGUCUCAAGGUCGAUGACGGCAUUCGGAUUGUGAUGUCUAAGGGGUUCUGGUAAUCCAAUAACAUCAGGUGUGCUGUGAGCUCGUCCGACUAUAGAUGUAAUUAAGAACCUUCUUGAAACAAAGCGGAAUUGUGAAGUACGUGUAUCAGUCUUUGUAGACAGCGACUUGGCUCUGCCCCUGGCAUUGCUGAGGUCCUUGGGUGACUGUAACCACUCACCAUCAGGUGGGUCGUACGUUCGUCUGCAUACAAGGGCAAUAAAAAAAAAAUUGUAACGUCUUAAAUUACUUUUAGGUACUUCAAUAGUUAGAACUACAAAAUAUAGUUUACAAUUGGAAACUUAAUGAAAAUAUGUUAAUCAGUAGUUAAUAUGUAGACUAUAUGUAUAGCAUCGACAAUAAAUAUAUGUCAAUUUUUUAUGUCGCGUUCAUAGAUUGUACACUAAUAUCAUAGACCUAUAUAGUAUUCAUACUUCAGUGACUAAUAUACAUAUGUCACUAGACACUACGUCAAACCAGACACACUUCUUCAUAGAUUAUACACUUAAACUUCUUCAUUUAUAAUUAUCAAAAAAAAAAUUAUUAGUCAAAAUAUUCAUAGUGGUCCAUGUAUUAUUAAUAUUCAAUGUAAACAAUUUAAGAUGUCAGAUAUACGAAAUUAUCUAAUGGAAAUUUAUUACUUAAUUUGAAGCUCGUAUCACGUUUACAAAUUUUGAACAAUCUUCGUUCUCUUCGUAAUCAUAUCACAAGCUUUAAGCAAAACCAAUUGAAAACAAAAUAUAUGUGCACAUAAAUACUAAAAUACGCACAUCUUUCAACAACAUCUAUUUCAUUGUUAUUGAUCGAAGGCAACUCUCCGUCGGAUAAAUAACCAAAGCCAUAGUUUGCUGCUUGCUUAUUAUUCUACAUAAUAUGUAAAAUGAAGUCUAUAUUUGAAACGUGCAAGAAGUAAAGAUUACCUACAAUAUUUCUUCAAAUUUACGGAUAUAUAAUAAAACUCAAAAAUUAAUAGUCAAAGUUUUAGAAUCAACAAUAGUACCUACAAUUAAUCUUCAGGAAAGCACAUUUUUAUACCCAUACUUUACUUCGGAAACAAACUAUUAUUUACAAUGCGUGGAAAAUCUAGUAUAAAAAUAUUAUUUAGUGCAGACGGAAUCAAGCAAGUGUACCAGAGCCACAGUAUGUUGCUGUACACCGUUUUAACUUUCCUUAUUGUUUUUGUUAUUUAUAUUUCGACCAAAGACUGGAAAGGCUUUACUUGCCCAGAAGAAGUGGAUUUGGGAUCGAUAGGAGUUUCUUCGCGUUCACGUCGUCGAAAACGAACUUAUCUUCAUAGACAUUACUGAAGUAUCUACCGCUUUAAAUUUUCAACUUGAAUAAACUUAUUAAUCCUUUAAAAUAA
Long non-coding RNA from Bombyx mori (domestic silkworm), 1656 nucleotides. RefSeq lists it as uncharacterized. The transcript is spliced from 3 exons. The record is from RefSeq and is a predicted model, not a curated record. NCBI's taxonomy places the organism in Eukaryota, Metazoa, Arthropoda, Insecta, Lepidoptera, Bombycidae.